GCCCCUAUCGUCUAGUGGCCCAGGACUCGGGAUUUUCAUUCCCGCAACAGCGGUUCGAAACCGCUUGGGGGUACGA
Molecule: transfer RNA, 76 nt
Filed under: Fibrobacter sp. UWR2
Lineage: Bacteria; Pseudomonadati; Fibrobacterota; Fibrobacteria; Fibrobacterales; Fibrobacteraceae
Description: tRNA-Glu
Rfam family: tRNA
About the family: Transfer RNA (tRNA) molecules are approximately 80 nucleotides in length. Their secondary structure includes four short double-helical elements and three loops (D, anti-codon, and T loops).
Source: RNAcentral